UACCCGCAGCCCGAGUGGUGGUCGAUAUUAUUGAGUCUAAAACGUUCGUAGCCGGUUCUGUAAAUCCUUGGGUAAAUCGGUAAGCUUAACUUACCGACUUCCGAGGAGACUGCAGAACUUGGGACCGGGAGAGGCAAGAGGUACUUCUGGGGUAGGGGUAAAAUCCUGUAAUCCUAGAAGGACCACCGGUGGCGAAGGCGUCUUGCUAGAACGGAUCCGACGGUGAGGGACGAAGCCCUGGGGCGCAAAC
RNAcentral lists this ribosomal RNA (250 nucleotides) under uncultured archaeon. Its description in RNAcentral is "partial 16S ribosomal RNA". It matches the Rfam family "Archaeal small subunit ribosomal RNA", at positions 474 to 724 of the family's 1478-position model. The record is from RNAcentral.